UUGGGGAAUAUUCCGCAAUGGACGAAAGUCUGACGGAGCGACGCCGCGUGAGUGAUGAAGGCCCUUGGGUCGUAAAGCUCUGUCAUCAGGGACGAACGGUCACGUCAGGAAAUGGGCGUAAAUUGACGGUACCUGAGAAGGAAGCCACGGCUAACUACGUGCCAGCAGCCGCGGUAAUACGUAGGUGGCGAGCGUUGUCCGGAAUUAUUGGGCGUAAAGCGCGCGCAGGUGGGAUCUUAAGUCUGUUCUGAAAGUUCGGAGCUUAACUCCGUGAUGGGAUGGAAACUGGGAUUCUUGAGUAUCGGAGAGGAAAGCGGAAUUCCCCGUGUAGCGGUGAAAUGCGUAGAUAUGGGGAGGAACACCAGUGGCGAAGGCGGCUUUCUGGACGAUGUCUGACACUGAGGCGCGAAAGCCAGGGGAGCGAACGGGAUUAGAAACCCUUGUAGUCC
This 449-nucleotide ribosomal RNA is filed under the name uncultured bacterium. Its description in RNAcentral is "partial 16S ribosomal RNA". It matches the Rfam family "Bacterial small subunit ribosomal RNA", at positions 354 to 796 of the family's 1533-position model. The record is from RNAcentral.